GAUGAACGCUGGCGGCGUGCCUAAUACAUGCAAGUCGAGCGAACGGACGAGAAGCUUGCUUCUCUGAUGUUAGCGGCGGACGGGUGAGUAACACGUGGAUAACCUACCUAUAAGACUGGGAUAACUUCGGGAAACCGGAGCUAAUACCGGAUAAUAUUUUGAACCGCAUGGUUCAAAAGUGAAAGACGGUCUUGCUGUCACUUAUAGAUGGAUCCGCGCUGCAUUAGCUAGUUGGUAAGGUAACGGCUUACCAAGGCAACGAUGCAUAGCCGACCUGAGAGGGUGAUCGGCCACACUGGAACUGAGACACGGUCCAGACUCCUACGGGAGGCAGCAGUAGGGAAUCUUCCGCAAUGGGCGAAAGCCUGACGGAGCAACGCCGCGUGAGUGAUGAAGGUCUUCGGAUCGUAAAACUCUGUUAUUAGGGAAGAACAUAUGUGUAAGUAACUGUGCACAUCUUGACGGUACCUAAUCAGAAAGCCACGGCUAACUACGUGCCAGCAGCCGCGGUAAUACGUAGGUGGCAAGCGUUAUCCGGAAUUAUUGGGCGUAAAGCGCGCGUAGGCGGUUUUUUAAGUCUGAUGUGAAAGCCCACGGCUCAACCGUGGAGGGUCAUUGGAAACUGGAAAACUUGAGUGCAGAAGAGGAAAGUGGAAUUCCAUGUGUAGCGGUGAAAUGCGCAGAGAUAUGGAGGAACACCAGUGGCGAAGGCGACUUUCUGGUCUGUAACUGACGCUGAUGUGGCGAAAGCGUGGGGAUCAAACAGGAUUAGAUACCCUGGUAGUCCACGCCGUAAACGAUGAGUGCUAAGUGUUAGGGGGUUUCCGCCCCUUAGUGCUGCAGCUAACGCAUUAAGCACUCCGCCUGGGGAGUACGACCGCAAGGUUGAAACUCAAAGGAAUUGACGGGGACCCGCACAAGCGGUGGAGCAUGUGGUUUAAUUCGAAGCAACGCGAAGAACCUUACCAAAUCUUGACAUCCUUUGACAACUCUAGAGAUAGAGCCUUCCCCUUCGGGGGACAAAGUGACAGGUGGUGCAUGGUUGUCGUCAGCUCGUGUCGUGAGAUGUUGGGUUAAGUCCCGCAACGAGCGCAACCCUUAAGCUUAGUUGCCAUCAUUAAGUUGGGCACUCUAAGUUGACUGCCGGUGACAAACCGGAGGAAGGUGGGGAUGACGUCAAAUCAUCAUGCCCCUUAUGAUUUGGGCUACACACGUGCUACAAUGGACAAUACAAAGGGCAGCGAAACCGCGAGGUCAAGCAAAUCCCAUAAAGUUGUUCUCAGUUCGGAUUGUAGUCUGCAACUCGACUACAUGAAGCUGGAAUCGCUAGUAAUCGUAGAUCAGCAUGCUACGGUGAAUACGUUCCCGGGUCU
RNAcentral lists this ribosomal RNA (1373 nucleotides) under uncultured bacterium. RNAcentral describes it as "bacterial SSU rRNA". It matches the Rfam family "Bacterial small subunit ribosomal RNA", at positions 28 to 1381 of the family's 1533-position model. The record is from RNAcentral.